Long non-coding RNA from Triticum dicoccoides, 2315 nucleotides. RefSeq lists it as uncharacterized. The transcript is spliced from 3 exons. The record is from RefSeq and is a predicted model, not a curated record. NCBI's taxonomy places the organism in Eukaryota, Viridiplantae, Streptophyta, Magnoliopsida, Poales, Poaceae.
AUUAACAUUAUGAAGUUUUGAACAGGUCAGGAUGGCAAACCUAGGGAGUUCAGGCACCAUGAAACAUAACUUCCUUUGCCAUCGGAGAGAAAGAAGACGGUAGGCGCGCUCAGGAGAUGACGCAGCAACAACCGUCGAGCGGAGGUUGUGUUUGGAGGCGACCAGCAGAGGCUGCAGCUCCCACAGCUCGCGUGCGAACGAUGUGGCCGGACGACGAUUGAAGCGGCGUUUCUGUUUUGGCGGCGUGCUUUCGCGUGUGGAUGGAGCUCGUACGCCAGGAAGAACUGGCGUCUUGAUGGAGCUCGUACGCCAGGAAGAACUGGCGUUCGUUGGCGGGUCGAAGAAGUUUGAUUUUUGGUCGAUGGACCUCGUCCUCGUUCGUGGGUUGCGGAGCUGUUUUUUUGUUGACUGGGCGCGAUCGUGGGGUUCCAUGGACUUAUCGUUCGUGUGUUGAACUGUGGAUCUCGUACGUGGGCUGAGUUGUUGUAUUUUUUUUUGCGGGCGCUGAGUUGGUGUUUUUUCGUACGUGGGCUAUGUUGGUGGGCUGCUAUGUUGGUGGGCUGCUGCGUGCGUGUGGGAGUUCGAAGGGAGGGGGAUCGAACGAGGUCGAACCAUCACGACGUUCGAUCCCGCUUUAAUAGUAGAGAUUCGGGCAUAUGACGUCCAAAUGAGGCAUGUGAUUGUAAUAUGAUGUGUUUGUGAAAUGCGAGCAGUAGCCUUGUGAUUUUGAUAGCUCGGUGAUGGCGGGCGAAGCCACCAAGCAUCGACACACAUCCUAACCAAUUUGAUUUGGUGUCAUCUUGGAUCUGACUAAUGGAUUAAUAUUCUUGUAGGUUGAUUUGAAUCCCCGGGUAUGUGGUUAUGCAUGAGCUGUGGAAGCAAAGGUGUGUGUCGGCUGGUUAUGCAUGAGCUGUGGAAGCAAAGGUGUGUGUCGGCUGGAGCUGAUUUACGGGGCUGUCAUUUGGAUGGUACCAAACUGUAAUAAUACAGACUCCCACUCAAAAUUUCACUGCACCAAAGGCUCUCGUCAGGAUGGCAAACCUAGGGAGUUCAGGCACCAUGAAACAUAACUUCCUUUGCCAUCGGAGAGAAAGAAGACGGUAGGCGCGCUCAGGAGAUGACGCAGCAACAACCGUCGAGCGGAGGUUGUGUUUGGAGGCGACCAGCAGAGGCUGCAGCUCCCACAGCUCGCGUGCGAACGAUGUGGCCGGACGACGAUUGAAGCGGCGUUUCUGUUUUGGCGGCGUGCUUUCGCGUGUGGAUGGAGCUCGUACGCCAGGAAGAACUGGCGUCUUGAUGGAGCUCGUACGCCAGGAAGAACUGGCGUUCGUUGGCGGGUCGAAGAAGUUUGAUUUUUGGUCGAUGGACCUCGUCCUCGUUCGUGGGUUGCGGAGCUGUUUUUUUGUUGACUGGGCGCGAUCGUGGGGUUCCAUGGACUUAUCGUUCGUGUGUUGAACUGUGGAUCUCGUACGUGGGCUGAGUUGUUGUAUUUUUUUUUGCGGGCGCUGAGUUGGUGUUUUUUCGUACGUGGGCUAUGUUGGUGGGCUGCUGCGUGCGUGUGGGAGUUCGAAGGGAGGGGGAUCGAACGAGGUCGAACCAUCACGACGUUCGAUCCCCCUUUAAUAGUAGAGAUUCUCAAUGGGCAUACCUGCUGUUAUCUUGCCAAAGCCCAAGUUUAUACAAUUUGCUUCUCUAACUACAAUGUCAGUACAUUAUGCUAGGUCAGGAUGGCAAACCUAGGGAGUUCAGGCACCAUGAAACAUAACUUCCUUUGCCAUCGGAGAGAAAGAAGACGGUAGGCGCGCUCAGGAGAUGACGCAGCAACAACCGUCGAGCGGAGGUUGUGUUUGGAGGCGACCAGCAGAGGCUGCAGCUCCCACAGCUCGCGUGCGAACGAUGUGGCCGGACGACGAUUGAAGCGGCGUUUCUGUUUUGGCGGCGUGCUUUCACGUGUGGAUGGAGCUCGUACGCCAGGAAGAACUGGCGUCUUGAUGGAGCUCGUACGCCAGGAAGAACUGGCGUUCGUUGGCGGGUCGAAGAAGUUUGAUUUUUGGUCGAUGGACCUCGUCCUCGUCCGUGGGUUGCGGAGCUGUUUUUUUGUUGACUGGGCGCGAUCGUGGGGUUCCAUGGACUUAUCGUUCGUGUGUUGAACUGUGGAUCUCGUACGUGGGCUGAGUUGUUGUAUUUUUUUUUGCGGGCGCUGAGUUGGUGUUUUUUCGUACGUGGGCUAUGUUGGUGGGCUGCUAUGUUGGUGGGCUGCUGCGUGCGUGUGGGAGUUCGAAGGGAGGGGGAUCGAACGAGGUCGAACCAUCACG